Molecule: long non-coding RNA, 680 nt
Organism: Argentina anserina (silverweed cinquefoil)
Lineage: Eukaryota; Viridiplantae; Streptophyta; Magnoliopsida; Rosales; Rosaceae
Exons: 3
Source: RefSeq, a predicted model, not a curated record
GUUGGUAGGUGUUUUCCGUUAUUUGUUUGGGUUGAUUGCCUUCUAAUCUGUUCCUGUUAUUUCUUUAGGUUUGUUAUUUUCCUUUGGGUAUCUGAUAUUGUUUGGAUGAUUUGGUCUUUCUUUGUUUUUGUGCAUUUUCUUAGACUCAGCUGAAUUUUGGAAACGGUACAAUCAUUACUUCAAGAUUGCUUAUUGAUGAUGAAAAUAUGUUUUGAUAUUUUGCUCAUGGAAGAACAAGAAGGAGAUAAGUCAUUGAGCAAAGGGGAAGAGAAUUGCUUCAUGUGUUGGUCCCUUGCUUCAUACAAAUAUGAGAUGUAUAAAUAUAGUAGUUACUUUUUAGAAACCAAGUAGCACAUCCAUAAAAUUUAUGUUAACAUCCUAAAAUUUGGCUAUUGAUGGUCUAUUACUGAGCUUCCAAGUUUGGAAGAUAAUUUACCCGCAGCUACAAUAGCUGUGAUGGCUACAGUGCUGGUCUAGGCCGGGUUGGGGCUCAAUUUUUGGGCUUUAGGUUAUAUGGUUGUCAGGUUUUGUUAACCUAUUUCAAUUACUAGCCCUUCUCUUUCUCACAAAUGCUGAACGUCGUCUUUCCAAUUUCUUCCAUAGUUUGCCCAUCUCAAAUUUACAUUUCCAUAAGUUCCAUUUUUCAUCCAAGAAGCCGCAGCAAAGCGCGGCCUUGCUGA